AAUAUGAGCCUCUAAAAAAUGAAGGCAUGACUCGAUACAGGAUUCAUAGAUCUUUUUAGAGAGAGAAAAUCGGUCAUGAGAGAGAAAGUAGAGAGAGAAAGUGGAGAGAGAAUCUUCGUAUCCUUCAAAAGUGGCAAUCACGAUUAAGAUCAUCAGAGGUUAUAUCAGGGUGACUUAAUAUAGAUUAACCAUGAUCGAUGUUAUCAAUUUCGAAUAAGGAUCGGAUCGGGAUCCAAUUCUGCAUAAAUUUUGGAGCAGUCUCAGGU
This 266-nucleotide long non-coding RNA is filed under the name Elaeis guineensis (African oil palm). RNAcentral describes it as "long non-coding RNA (EGUI_LNC012039)". Lineage: Eukaryota; Viridiplantae; Streptophyta; Magnoliopsida; Arecales; Arecaceae. The record is from RNAcentral.